RNAcentral lists this transfer RNA (71 nucleotides) under bacterium. Its description in RNAcentral is "tRNA-Gln". It matches the Rfam family "tRNA". Rfam says of the family: Transfer RNA (tRNA) molecules are approximately 80 nucleotides in length. Their secondary structure includes four short double-helical elements and three loops (D, anti-codon, and T loops). Further hydrogen bonds mediate the characteristic L-shaped molecular structure. tRNAs have two regions of fundamental functional importance: the anti-codon, which is responsible for specific mRNA codon recognition, and the 3' end, to which the tRNAs corresponding amino acid is attached (by aminoacyl-tRNA synthetases). tRNAs cope with the degeneracy of the genetic code in two manners: having more than one tRNA (with a specific anti-codon) for a particular amino acid; and 'wobble' base-pairing, i.e. permitting non-standard base-pairing at the 3rd anti-codon position. The record is from RNAcentral.
UGCCCAAUAGCCAAAGGGUAAGGCACAUGACUUUGACUCAUGUAUUACUGGUUCGAGUCCAGUUUGGGCAG